Triticum dicoccoides is the source of this 3650-nucleotide long non-coding RNA. RefSeq lists it as uncharacterized. NCBI's taxonomy places the organism in Eukaryota, Viridiplantae, Streptophyta, Magnoliopsida, Poales, Poaceae. The transcript is spliced from 3 exons. The record is from RefSeq and is a predicted model, not a curated record.
UCCACUUUCCUGUUCUAUAGACUUCUUAACUUCUCCGUUCCUAUUUUCCCCAUCCAUCUCCUCCGAUCCCCUUUCUCUUUUCCUAAAUCUUGCUUCUCACUCAAAAAUUGCUGCUGCUGGAUAUCUCCCAUCAGCUUUCUUUGCUGAUUCACUUCAUGGAGGUUUAUCUUCCUCACCUGGAGCCACCCCCGCAGCUGGUUAUGGCACACAUGUUCAGCAUGGACGGCGGCUUGUCUCUGUCCUGCCCUCUUGCAUCUAGCUUGAGUAUGAGAUUGCUGGCUACAUUUUCUUUCACAAUUGCGCAAAGCAGACACAUCGUUUCUAUUUCUGCUCGAGGUAGCCCGGCACAUCACCCUCAUCCUUCACAGCGGUAACAUUCUUCAAAGCUCGACCUGAAGGUCCCUAUUUUUCCUUUUCCGACUGUAAUUUAUCCCCUUUUUCUUAUCCUUUUCCUAUGGUUGUGCGGUUGAACCAAUAUAAUGUAAUCAACGAAAUGACUUUUAGUGGUAAACAUUUCAUAUUUUUUCUUUCUAAUCUCGGAAAAACAUUUGAUUUUUUUUGUAAGUGGUCUAGUACAUAGUAGCUAGUAAUUAGUUCGUGAAAAUUUUAAAAUGUAAUUAUAUGUAUGAGCAGACAUACCAAUCAAAAUUAGUACUAUAUCGGUAAUUAAUUUAUAUUAAUCCAAAUUAGAACACAGAAUGGAACUUUGUGUUUAUCUUAAAAACAAUACAAGAAAGUAUGUACUUUUGACCUCACUGUUAGAUUUGUUUCUUUUCACAACUCUUCGCGGUUUCUUGUCGGUAGUCCUUUUGACAUGUGUAUAGUUUUGUUCGCAAUCUUUAUCUGAAUCAUCCUCUAUGGUAAUUAUAUCUGAACCUGUAGCUCAAAUGUUUCUUUGCGCACAUCCUGUCAAUCUGCGCAAUGGAGGAGGUGAGCUUGUCGAUCUUGACAGUAUCGUUGUCGUCGUCGUCCUUGGAGGCGAUAUGGGCAUGGAUCUUGUCUGCUACAGCGAGCUUGGAUCCACAUCGCAUCGUGGCUGUCCCCGAGCAAGACAGCCCAGCAGGUCGCCUUGAUCCUCGAUAGAGGUAGCCUGAUUUCGGCGACUCAUUCUUCCACCUGUAUGUCCCCACUUCUCCAUUUUCAUGCAUUUAUCAUAAUUUUUCUUGGUUCUUAUCAUUUCUCUUCAUGUGUACGGCUAAACUAAUAUAAUGUGCAUUAAGGUACAACUUGUUACUGAAAGAUGUAAACUUAUCUAUGCCCCUCCACUUUUUUCCGUACAUUGGACCGGCAUCGACAAUGUCAGGCCCCCCUGCCCCAUUUCAUUUGUAGACUUAAUAUGUAAUUUAAUUAAUUUGUGCUUUGCUAUAAUUUUACAAUUUCCCAAAGAUAGAAUUAUUUUCAGUAAGUGAAUAUGAAAAUAGGUGCUAUUACAUUUUACAUAUUAACUAUAACAAUCCGUGGAUGCUGUAACUAUUGUCAUGUUCAGUAGAAUAAGUUUCAAAUAUCAAAAUAUAUAUAGCAUUGGCAAUUGGUAUUAUUGGGCUAUUUCCAUCGAAUGUUGAUGCAUGUUUCCAAUAAUUCUGGGAGCAUUACAUCAUAUCUGUCGUCAUAUCAUGUUAGCAUAGAAAAAUCAGUUUAGUUCCAUCUUCUUUUGGUUAUGUUCCGUCAGAUCAUGUUAGCAUAGAAAAAAUAGUUUUGUUCCAUCUACUUAUGGGCUUUAUGGCUAUCUAAAAAGGCUAGUAGCAUCUGUAAGUGUAUUUUUAGUUCCUACCUUCAGUAUAUUUCUGUGUAGGCUAUGUUCUUGACCACAUCAUCCUCGCUGUUGGUUUAUUUGCUAUAGAAAAGAAAAUAACAUGUGUGAUCAAGUCGGUACGGCAUUACUUGCGAGUGUGUUUCCAAAUAUUCCCUUUCUCUUACAUUUCUCAUGAACUCUUUGAGCUUUAUGUAGAUCACCCGGUCAACAAUACCAGGUCUUUAUGAUGCUGCUAUGCCUACUUUCUGUAGCAAAGAUUGAAUGUGACAAAUAGUCUAUUUGUAUUGCACUACUGCAAAAUGCAUACAAAGGCAUCCAUAUUGAACUAUAGUUUAAGCUUUUCACACACCAGUAAGUGUUUAAAUGCUUUCUCUUGCAUUUUGCACCUUCUACUAUUGUGUAAUGUAUAUUUCCUCUGUACCCAUCUUCUCCUAGGGGAAUAACAAUCGAUACUGCACAUCCAUGUAUUUUGAAUGGUUCUCCGAUAUUCUUCUUGGUCUCAUGUCUUUGUACUGACCAAUGUGAUAUCAUGUCCUUUUCCAUUCUCUAUUGUAUCAUUCACAAUCAACGCUGCUACUUCAGUUGCAGAUGGCAUGUCAUGUCGUGUUAAUCUCACGUCGUGAUAGUUCAAGGCCGCUACUUCAGUUGCAGAUGGCAUGUCAUGUCGUGUUAAUCUCACGUGGAUAGUCACCUUCCUCGAAUUUAUCCCUUGCCAUUCUGAGUGUUUUUGCUAGUCUAUUAUCUUUAUCCAAUAUAUUUUUCAGGCCCUCGACAAUGUGAGGAUCUAUUGACUCCCUUUUAUCUUGUGAUGUUGACGUGUCAAUCCUGAUUCUUACCUCAUUUGUAGUGGCAUAGGUGUGCAGCUGCGCUGUGUGUGGUUUAUCUUUACCUUAAGGUAGUAGAGUACCUAUCUGUGAUAUUUUUGGCCAUUCAUUCCAAAUACAUAAGGCCCGGGACCAUUUUUUAUUUCUGUGUCUACCUUUCCUCCCAUUGAUGUAAAGUGAACAUGGAGUCGUCGAAUCUGAUAUUGUGCAUGUAGUUUUUCCACCUCUUUAUGAACUUAAAAGCAUUUGAUUGUGUUGUCACACCUUGAAUUGAACACAUGCAUUAUACUCCUGAUUCUGUUCUUGAUGUUAAGAAAGAUUGAACUCUAAGAAUAAGAUCAGAUUGCAAUUGAGGAUGAGAAGUUGAUGUACAAUAAUGACUGAAAAUCCACAAGGGGAACUUAGGACAAGUUUAAAAAGCUAUUUGACAUGAAUGAAAAGCUCUUUGAUUGUGUUGUCGUACCUUGAAUUGAAGACAUAAGUUGUACUGUCGUUUCUGCUCUUACUUUUAAGAAAAGAUUAAACUUUAUGUCAGUUCUAUAUGGUCUCUGCAGAUGGUCUAGCGGCUGGAGGUGAUCUGCUCACCUGAUGGAACCAACGGCACACAGUCGAGGAGAUUGGGGCACUCGCUCAUGAGUGUUCUUUUUUAGGGAAAACCUGAUGGAGCCGAUGGCACAAUCGAGGAGUUUGGGGCCCUCGCUCGUGGGAGUUCUUUUUUAGGGAAAGCCAUCAUGGCGAUGUAUAUUGAUUUGGAAUAACAGUAAUUAUCCGUAAGAACAUCAAGUAAAAAAGUUAGGGUGGCAUGUGAUGCUAUGAGUCGAACCUAUGGUGGGUUUUGUUUAUGAGAUUGUGAGAUUGUGUAAAGAAUAUGGGACGGAUCAAAACAUGGAUUGUGAGAUUAGCGUAUAGGAUAUGGAAAAAAGACAGAACAACAUGCAUGCAAUUGAUCAACGUAGGGUUGGAUAUUUGGGAAGAAGCCGUCAACGUACAUACCUUGCCCUUGACCGCUGCUCACGCUGCAUCUUGGUAAAGCAAGCCACCUCGGAGGCGACAUGUGCCUUCCAGCCCUAUCU